RNAcentral lists this long non-coding RNA (1799 nucleotides) under Theobroma cacao (cacao). Its description in RNAcentral is "long non-coding RNA (TCAC_LNC006051)". Lineage: Eukaryota; Viridiplantae; Streptophyta; Magnoliopsida; Malvales; Malvaceae. The record is from RNAcentral.
AGUGACACAUGGGCCCACAUAUAUCCAAAAUGCAUCGGAAGCUGGAAACCUACAACUUUUACCGAUUCGAGUCCAAAUGAAGAUCCUUGUCAAAGUCAGCUAACUAUGGAAUUCCCCGAGCCUGAAAUGUGAGGAAAUAAGGGUGGUGAGAUUAUAAAAUCCCAGUGAGUAAACAAAUACCAUCUAAACUAUCUAAAGUCGAGUAAAUAGAGACAAUUAAAAUAAGUCAUCAUACUGUAAUGUCAUUACCUUUCAACUCAUUUCAACCAAAAAAAAUCAAUCCAUAUAAAUCGAGAAAUCAACUUGGCUUAUGAAUUUCUUAAAACUUUGGCUCGUGCCAAAACUCAUAUUCGGUGAUACCUUGCGUAGAGCAUCCAACCGAGUCCGCCAAGGCUGUUAAAAUUUUUGUAUACACUUAAAAUAUAUUUUUAGUUUGAGAAAAAUACAGUCGUUCCUUGGCGUUGGCUGAGUUCCCCUUCACGUGGUGGUUUGGCGUGAAGUGAACCCUAAGCUUUACCCCAGGAAAUACCCUACGCGCCUCUCCGUUCGAGGUAAGAAUAUAAUGGAGUUUACCGUGCCCCUCUAAUAGGCUGGUCCAUGGAACCCCCUCUGUAGUGAAUAAUUAAUAUAUAAUCCACUAAUCAAUAAAAUUCAUUUUAGCAUGACAUGACAAUUUAUCGCAACCUAGCCUCUAAAGGUUGAAUACACAGUUAAAUCAUUCUAGCACCAAAAUCAGUUUAGCCAUUCAUGGUCAUUUAUUAUCAUAAGCCAUUCAAUUUAAAACCAUAAAUUUACAACACAAGUAGGCAGUCUCCAAUUACUCUAUUUUCAAAACUAGUAUUCGAUUUUUCAGAAAAUUUAUAAAAUCAUUUUAUAAAAUCACAAUUUCUCUUAAAACAUAGCAAUUUACCAUUUAAACUCAUUUUUCAUAAAACCACAUAAUUGUAUAAAACUACUCUAGAUAAUUAAGACGAUAAUAAGUUCACUCACAGUUCUAGGAGUCGAUGUACUCCUAAUCCCAGUCUCCAAGCACAAUCUCUGUACUUUUACCAGUGUACUUUGCUCACCACCUGUCCAUAAUGUACAAUACAUAAUUCACCACAUCAAUGCAUGACCAUUAUAAAAUCGAUUCAGGCUAGGUAUAUAUGCAUGAUAUGAUAUAUAACUUAUCUGACUACCGCUUAAAUGCGGUGCUGACCUAAUUCGGCCUAUUAUCUCCAAUUUAACUCCAAAUCAAUUCUCCUCACUUUCUACACUCCAAUUAUACCUAAAUUACCUUAAUGACUAUGAAUGAGAUUCAAUUUAUCAGUCUCGAUAGCAAAUUACGAAAAUACCCCUAAUGGGUAAAAAUUCGUAUUUUUGCUCUUAAAAUUUUCAUUAUUUUUUUAGGCUCAUAAUUCAUCAUUUCUUAACCAAUUCUCCUAGAAUGAAAAUCAAAUUCAUCCUCACUCAACACAUGGUAAAUUCGGCCAUUAAGGGUUGUGGGAGAAAAUAAAUUCUUUUCUUGUUGUUUUGUUUCUAAAUAUGCUAAACUAACUUAAAACACUAACAUAACUUAAAAUCAAAUUAGUCUAACAACUUUCUCUCUCCUAACCCAUUUUUCAGAAUUGAAUUCAUCAUAAUAACUUAAUAUUCAACCAUGGAAAUCAAGAACAAAAGCAUGGGUAAGCUAGGUAUCAAGGAGAAUUAAAGAAAUUCUAACUUACCUAGCUUGUUUCCUUGAUUUCUUCACUUUUUCUUUGAAUUUUCACCUAGGUUUUCUUGUUUUUCCCUUUGUUCUUCCUCUCUUUCUCUCUCUU